RNAcentral lists this ribosomal RNA (468 nucleotides) under uncultured bacterium. RNAcentral's name for it is "partial 16S ribosomal RNA". It matches the Rfam family "Bacterial small subunit ribosomal RNA", at positions 28 to 507 of the family's 1533-position model. The record is from RNAcentral.
GACGAACGCUGGCGGCGUGCUUAACACAUGCAAGUCGAACGGAAAGGCCCUGCUUUUGUGGGGUGCUCGAGUGGCGAACGGGUGAGUAACACGUGAGUAACCUGCCCUUGACUUUGGGAUAACUUCAGGAAACUGGGGCUAAUACCGGAUAGGAGCUCCUGCUGCAUGGUGGGGGUUGGAAAGUUUCGGCGGUUGGGGAUGGACUCGCGGCUUAUCAGCUUGUUGGUGGGGUAGUGGCUUACCAAGGCUUUGACGGGUAGCCGGCCUGAGAGGGUGACCGGCCACAUUGGGACUGAGGUACGGCCCAGACUCCUACGGGAGGCAGCAGUGGGGAAUAUUGCACAGUGGGCGGAAGCCUGAUGUAGCAACGCCGCGUGCGGGAUGACGGCCUUCGGGUUGUAAACCGCUUUCGCCUGUGACGUGGCGUGAGUGACGGUAAUAGGUAAAGAAGCACCGGCUAACUACGUG